ACAGCCCAUCGAAACCAUUGUUCUUAAUGCUUGGAGCAGGACUUUGAAGACCUAGGCAUGCAAUUCAUUAUGAGGUUUCCAAUUCCGAAGGCAAACCUAAACUCCGUUUAUAAUUUGAAUGGAUAUUGUAUAAUUUGACCUUUUUAAGUAGAGAUUCUCCGUGACCUCUAUUCUGUUUGAUCUUAGGAAAGCUAAAGGG
This 199-nucleotide long non-coding RNA is filed under the name Elaeis guineensis (African oil palm). Its description in RNAcentral is "long non-coding RNA (EGUI_LNC033997)". Lineage: Eukaryota; Viridiplantae; Streptophyta; Magnoliopsida; Arecales; Arecaceae. The record is from RNAcentral.